RNAcentral lists this transfer RNA (67 nucleotides) under Marmota monax (woodchuck). RNAcentral describes it as "tRNA.Ala". It matches the Rfam family "tRNA", at positions 6 to 65 of the family's 71-position model. From Rfam's summary of the family: Transfer RNA (tRNA) molecules are approximately 80 nucleotides in length. Their secondary structure includes four short double-helical elements and three loops (D, anti-codon, and T loops). Lineage: Eukaryota; Metazoa; Chordata; Mammalia; Rodentia; Sciuridae. The record is from RNAcentral.
GAAAUAUAGCUCAAUGGUAGAGUACUUGCCUAGCAUGCUUGAGGCCCUGGGUUCAAUCCCCACUACA